GGCAGAGUGGUUGAAUGCGCCGGUCUCGAAAACCGGUAACGGGUUCUCCCCGUUCGAGGGUUCGAACCGAGCGUCAGCGA
RNAcentral lists this transfer RNA (80 nucleotides) under Wenzhouxiangella sp. XN201. RNAcentral describes it as "tRNA-Ser". The record is from RNAcentral. Lineage: Bacteria; Pseudomonadati; Pseudomonadota; Gammaproteobacteria; Chromatiales; Wenzhouxiangellaceae.